Molecule: non-coding RNA, 82 nt
Organism: Capra hircus (goat)
Lineage: Eukaryota; Metazoa; Chordata; Mammalia; Artiodactyla; Bovidae
Source: the annotation of a RefSeq genome assembly
GUAGUCGCGGCCGAGCGGUUAAGGCGGUGGACUAGAAAUCCAUUGGGGUCGCCCCGCCCAGGUUUGAACCCUGCCGAAUACA